CUUCCUGUGUGACACAACGCUCACAUUGCUUGCUCAGCUUGCAUCCACCAGUGACAGAUUUAGCGGCUUGGUGAGCUGCGUUCUCCACCUCGUGUGAAUUCCGUGAGAACUGUUUGGGGUCACCUUCGCUUCUCAAGACGGAUGCUGGAGUUUCCGUUCUUCCCAAGGACGCGACUCACCGGGCACCCGCCACAGAAUAGUUAUUAUAGUCACCAUACAUUUCCAAACGAAUGUGAAGUGUGGCUGGAAGGCAGAGGGGCGGCCAUUUGGAGACCAUUCGCCACGCAGUGCAGUUGUGAUAGACGAGCGCUUGUGAUGGAAUGGAGGCAGCCUAGACAAACGUUAAGCGUCGUGGUGCGUUUCCUGUGUCGGAAUCAAAGGUUUUGAUGGCCCAAGGUGGAUGACUGGAAGGAAUAAGACUACUUUGCAGCCAAGAUGACGUCAGUGUAAGAUCGGGUUAUCUUUGAGUACUUGGGUGUGUCACUACCACUGGCCUGGCCCAUGCAGUGAGGAAGGCUUGGAAUACUCAAGGUCCCUUCCUGAAGACCAGUGUGGAGAUGGAUCCUUGCUCUCAAUGCUGAAGCUGCACCCACCUAUAGGACAAAAGAUCGAUAUUUUUAUCAUGUGAUUUUAGUGUGUUUGACUUAUGGCUUGCAGUGUUGUUAGUAAUAAGCUUCCAAAUGUAUAAGAGUUCAAAGGACUCCUCACUUCAAUGAAUUUUCUUAAAAAAAAUUUCUUUAUAAAUUUUUACAAUGUAGGUCAUGGUAUGUGUUUCUCAAGAGAAAGUCUUUGAAGUACUGGUAUUCUUUCUGGAGAGUGAGGUAUCGGAACUGGCGUUUCUCUCCGGAGAGUCUUUGAGGUAUCGGAACUGGUGUUUCUCUGGAGUCUGUCAGGUAUCAGAACAGCAUGUUUCUAUCAGGAGAGUGUUUGAGGUGUCGGAACUGGUGUUUCUCCGGAGUGUCUUUCAGGUAUCAGAACAGCAUGUUUCUAUCAGGACAGUGUUUGAGGUAUCGGAACUGGAACUGAAUGCCUACAAGACUUGAUUGGUGCUGUCGUUUAGGUAGCAUUUUCAUUUCAGGAACAUUUAUGGUCUUGAAUUGACAAAAAUUUUACCCUCAGGAACAUUGGUCUUGAAUUGACAAAAAUUUUACCCUAUGUUAGGUAGCAUAUUUUGUUUUUGACAAAAAUCGUCUCGUGCCACUUGACCGAAACAGAAAUCUGACACUUUUGUUCCCAAAAUGAAAAAAAGGUGCAUCAUCAAGACCGACACCUAUCCCACCAUCGGGUGGAGUCUUGAAUUACAUGCACUUGAAUUUUUUAAUUUUGCUACUUAAGGAAGAAGUAUAAGAAAAAGAUGGAGAAGAAGAAGAGAGCGAAAAAUAGAUGAUUUUCAAUGACAUUUUGCCUAUACAAUGCUGUAUUAUGAGGAAGAUUUUAAAUGAUAUUUUGCCUAUAUAAUGCAGUUAUCUUAGGGGUUCAUGUACUCUAUCUUAGUAAUUAUCUGAGUGAUUUCAAUGAGAUUCUGCAUACAUACUGCACA
Molecule: long non-coding RNA, 1540 nt
Organism: Scylla paramamosain (green mud crab)
Lineage: Eukaryota; Metazoa; Arthropoda; Malacostraca; Decapoda; Portunidae
Exons: 5
Source: RefSeq, a predicted model, not a curated record